CAGUAGCCGCGGUAAUACGUAGGUCCCGAGCGUUGUCCGGAUUUAUUGGGCGUAAAGGGCUCGCAGGCGGUUUCUUAAGUCUGAUGUGAAAGCCCCCGGCUCAACCGGGGAGGGUCAUUGGAAACUGGGAAACUUGAGUGCAGAAGAGGAGAGUGGAAUUCCACGUGUAGCGGUGAAAUGCGUAGAGAUGUGGAGGAACACCAGUGGCGAAGGCGACUCUCUGGUCUGUAACUGACGCUGAGGAGCGAAAGCGUGGGGAGCGAACAGGAUUAGAUACCCGUGUAGUCCCUGUCUCUUAUAC
Molecule: ribosomal RNA, 301 nt
Filed under: uncultured bacterium
Lineage: Bacteria
Description: partial 16S ribosomal RNA
Rfam family: Bacterial small subunit ribosomal RNA
Source: RNAcentral